GCACCUGUAGCUCAGCUGGAUAGAGCGCUGCCUUGCGGAGGCAGAGGUCGUAGGUUCAAAUCCUGCCAGGUGUACCA
RNAcentral lists this transfer RNA (77 nucleotides) under Candidatus Saccharimonadota bacterium. RNAcentral describes it as "tRNA-Arg". It matches the Rfam family "tRNA". Rfam says of the family: Transfer RNA (tRNA) molecules are approximately 80 nucleotides in length. Their secondary structure includes four short double-helical elements and three loops (D, anti-codon, and T loops). Lineage: Bacteria; Candidatus Saccharimonadota. The record is from RNAcentral.